CCUACGGGAGGCAGCAGUGAGGAAUAUUGGUCAAUGGACGAGAGUCUGAACCAGCCAAGUAGCGUGAAGGAUGACUGCCCUAUGGGUUGUAAACUUCUUUUAUAUGGGAAUAAAAUGUUCCACGUGUGGGAUUUUGUAUGUACCAUAUGAAUAAGGCUCGGCUAACUCCGUGCCAGCAGCCGCGGUAAUACGGAGGAUCCGAGCGUUAUCCGGAUUUAUUGGGUUUAAAGGGAGCGUAGGUGGAUUGUUAAGUCAGUUGUGAAAGUUUGCGGCUCAACCGUAAAAUUGCAGUUGAAACUGGCAGUCUAGAGUACAGUAGAGGUGGGCGGAAUUCGUGGUGUAGCGGUGAAAUGCUUAGAUAUCACGAAGAACUCCGAUUGCGAAGGCAGCUCACUGGACUGCAACUGACACUGAGGCUCGAAAGUGUGGGUAUCAAACAGGAUUAGAUACCCCAGUAGUC
RNAcentral lists this ribosomal RNA (460 nucleotides) under uncultured bacterium. RNAcentral describes it as "partial 16S ribosomal RNA". It matches the Rfam family "Bacterial small subunit ribosomal RNA", at positions 338 to 795 of the family's 1533-position model. The record is from RNAcentral.